UAUCUUCCCACCUGUGCACUAUGUGUAGAUCUGUAUGCUAUUGUCAAGUCUUUACUAGGCUUGGUUGAGAGGAGUUGCUUGUUCCAUUGGACAAGCUCUUCUUGGGUAUGCAGGUCUAUGUUUUAUAUCAACACCAUAUGAAUAUAAUAGAAUGUGCUUUGGGCUUUUUAGCCUUUAAAACAUAUACAACUUUCAACAACGGAUCUCUUGGCUCUCGCAUCGAUGAAGAACGCAGCGAAAUGCGAUAAGUAAUGUGAAUUGCAGAAUUCAGUGAAUCAUCGAAUCUUUGAACGCACCUUGCGCUCCUUGGCAUUCCGAGGAGCAUGCCUGUUUGAGUGUCAUUAAAUUCUCAAUCCCCACAAUCUUGUGUUGCUGGGUGAUUGGAUUUUGGGGGCUUGCUGGCCUUGUUCAGCUCUCCUUAAAAGCAUUAGCAGGAUAUCAUGCCAUCUGUGCUUUGUAUGAUACAUAUCUAUACAUUGUACUUGUUGUGCACAACUGCUUCCAACUGUCAUCUGACAUUUGACCAAUUUGACCUCAAAUCAGGUAGGACUACCCGCUGAACUUAAGCAUA
RNAcentral lists this ribosomal RNA (571 nucleotides) under Pluteus petasatus. Its description in RNAcentral is "eukaryotic LSU rRNA". The stretch from base 188 to 341 matches the Rfam family "5.8S ribosomal RNA". The record is from RNAcentral. Lineage: Eukaryota; Fungi; Basidiomycota; Agaricomycetes; Agaricales; Pluteaceae.